UGUGCCAUAGCCAAGUCGGUUAAGGCAAGGGACUUUGACUCCCUGAUCGUGUGUUCGAAUCACACUGGCACAA
Molecule: transfer RNA, 73 nt
Filed under: Caudoviricetes sp.
Lineage: Duplodnaviria; Heunggongvirae; Uroviricota; Caudoviricetes
Description: tRNA-Gln
Rfam family: tRNA
About the family: Transfer RNA (tRNA) molecules are approximately 80 nucleotides in length. Their secondary structure includes four short double-helical elements and three loops (D, anti-codon, and T loops). Further hydrogen bonds mediate the characteristic L-shaped molecular structure. tRNAs have two regions of fundamental functional importance: the anti-codon, which is responsible for specific mRNA codon recognition, and the 3' end, to which the tRNAs corresponding amino acid is attached (by aminoacyl-tRNA synthetases). tRNAs cope with the degeneracy of the genetic code in two manners: having more than one tRNA (with a specific anti-codon) for a particular amino acid; and 'wobble' base-pairing, i.e. permitting non-standard base-pairing at the 3rd anti-codon position.
Source: RNAcentral